Molecule: ribosomal RNA, 524 nt
Filed under: uncultured bacterium
Lineage: Bacteria
Description: bacterial SSU rRNA
Rfam family: Bacterial small subunit ribosomal RNA
Source: RNAcentral
UGACAUGUGACUCGCCGGCUCCAGAGACGGAGCCUUCGGUUCGGCCGGAGUCAGCACAGGUGCUGCAUGGCYGUCGUCAGCUCGUGUCGUGAGAUGUUGGGUUAAGUCCCGCAACGAGCGCAACCCUCGUCUCCGGUUGCCAUCAGGUUAUGCUGGGCACUUUGGAGAAACUGCCGGUGACAAGCCGGAGGAAGGUGGGGAUGACGUCAAGUCCUCAUGGCCCUUACGGGCUGGGCUACACACGUGCUACAAUGGCGGUGACAGUGGGAUGCGAAGGGGCGACCCGGAGCCGAUCCCCAAAAACCGUCCCAGUUCGGAUUGCACUCUGCAACUCGAGUGCAUGAAGUUGGAAUCGCUAGUAAUCGCGGAUCAGCAUGCCGCGGUGAAUACGUUCCCGGSCCUUGUACACACCGCCCGUCACGCCAUGGGAGUUGGUUCUACCCGAAAACGGUGCGCUAACCGCAAGGAGGCAGCCGGUCACGGUAGGAUCAAUGACUGGGGCGAAGUCGUAACAAGGUAACCGU